AAUGAACGCUGGCGGCAGGCCUAAAACAUGCAAGUCGAACGCCUGUAGCAAUACAGGAGUGGCGCACGGGUGCGUAACACGUGGGAAUAUGCCUAUUGGUACGGAACAGCUCCGGGAAACUGGAAUUAAUACCGUAUGGUCCCUUCGGGGUAAAGAUUUAUCGCCAAUAGAUUAGCCCGCGGUGGAUUAGCUAGUUGGUAGGGUAAUGGCCUACCAAGGCGACGAUCCACAGCUGGUCUGAGAGGACGAUCAGCCACACUGGGACUGAGACACGGCCCAGACUCCUACGGGAGGCAGCAGUUAGGAAUAUUGGACAAUGGGCGCAAGCCUGAUCCAGCCAUGCCGCGUGAGUGAUGAAGGCCUUCGGGUUGUAAAACUCUUUAGCCGAUGAAUAUAAUGACUGUAGUCGGAAAAUAAGCCCCGGCUAACUUCGUGCCAGCCGCCGCGGUAA
Molecule: ribosomal RNA, 451 nt
Filed under: uncultured bacterium
Lineage: Bacteria
Description: partial 16S ribosomal RNA
Rfam family: Bacterial small subunit ribosomal RNA
Source: RNAcentral